Molecule: long non-coding RNA, 5205 nt
Organism: Passer domesticus (house sparrow)
Lineage: Eukaryota; Metazoa; Chordata; Aves; Passeriformes; Passeridae
Exons: 3
Source: RefSeq, a predicted model, not a curated record
UCUAAAAUAAAAAUGGCAUGGCAGGGAGACCGUUUUGAAUAGGUUGGCCAAUGAGCCAGAGCUGUCAACAAAACCAGCCUGCUUUCAAAGACCAAAGUGAAGCACUUUUAAAAUAUGGGUAUGAAAAAAUUCAUUCUGAUUUAGUUACUUUGUAUAUGAAAAAUCUUUUUUUUUAAAUGCCCUGAAAGAAUAAAAAAUUACAGAUAUUUGAUCCGGUGGCAGACUGCUAAGCCAUAAAUUUGUCAAACCACAAUUUUCUUUCUAGAUACUCAUUGUUUGGCCCCAUUUGUUUUCUGUCCAUCAGACUGGAAUCUCUCUUUUAAACAGCUGUAUCAUUCCAGCUGUCUGGGUGGAAGGAGAAGUAGUUUGGGAGAGGUGGAGCAUGCUUUGAGUAAUCUUGGGAAUGGUUUUGACCAAUACCCAGUUCAAGGACUGGGGAAUUUCAGGAUGAAUUUUAACAGUACAAGUGCACUUUAGGCAGUGACCUUUGUUUUCCCCACAUACCAAAGGGAAUAUGUGCCCUGUAGUCUUGAAUGUUUUUGUAAGAAUGCAGCUGACAUUUGCAGGUGACAAUUUUCCAUAUUCAUAAACAAUUUUUGAUAUCCAGGCAUUGAUUCCUGUUCAGGGCUCAGAGCUGGUACAGACCAGGUUCUGCUGUGUCCAGUGCAAAUAUGAAAGGUUCCUUAAGACUGGCAAGUGUAUUAAUUGGAAGAAAAAAUGAAUCAAGACUUGAAAAUGAUUGACUUUUUUUGUAUUUUUUUCAUCUCUCUUAAAACCUUGGCUUCAAUUCUUUUCUGGCUAUAAAUAUGGUGUUCUAAUAUUUUUUGUAGCUACAUGUGUGACCUAGGCCACCUCCAUUCUUUUCUCCCACCAGUCUCCUUCUUGCAUUUUAGAAGAAAUAACAAUCAAUUGCAGGAGACUCCUCAAAAGCCCCAGGUCUAAGCAGAUUUACUGUCUGUAAAACAUUUUCUACAUGAAAUGCAUUGGUCCAGCAGUGUGAAACAGCAGAGCAUAACCAAAACUGAUUUUAUUUUGGCUUUUCCAGGACUCAAGUAGAUGAUUCAGUGCUUUAUUACAUCGGGCUUUGCAUGUCUGGAUCCAGGUUUUUUAGGAUAGGCACCAAAAUCCCUGCUAAUGAAACAGGGCAAGUAAAUCAAUUCCUUAAACAUGAGUUAAUCUCAGAUGAGGUUCAGCCAUGAACUCAAAGAAAACCUGCAUAUCUCAUGCUCCAAGGUCAACCCCAGCCUGCCCAAACUCUGUAACACAGCCCAAAAUGCUCUGGCUCCACAUUAAAUUCUGUGUGUUGCCCAGAACUUCUGAAAGCCUGUGGCAUGUGCUCUAUGUGCUCUAGCACACUGCCAGACCAGGAGGGGGGAAAAAAGGAAGAAGAAAGAAAAAGGAAAGCCAAAAUCUGAAUUCCAAUAGGUUUUUAGCCAAAAAGAAGACCAUACAUGUCUUCAGAGGAGAAAUAGUCUAGAAAACUCUAAAAAACUUAGAAAGCCGUGGGCAAGAAGUGCCUUUUCAUCAAACUGCUUCCCUCCAUUGCCACUUUAUUUCUUCUGCCUUUAACCUCUAUGGGGGACAAUCAUGCAUGUCACCCUCCCCUACAUCACACACUUCCUUUUCUUUAGCAUCCUCAGAGCAAAUUGGAGAUUACUUUGAAGAUUUGUGUUAGGAAAUGAAGUGCACGCACAUGCUCACAUGCAAACACCUGCACAGGCUGCUGGAGGCAUCUGUGCUGCUCCUCCUUGCAUUUCCAGUGGCUUUUGGUCUGCAUUUCUGGCAACAAAUUAAUCUGGAAGUGGAUAAUGAAGAAAGGGUUAAUAAAAAGAAAACAAAAACAACAAACUUUGCCUUGUUUGCAGUGAUUUUGCAUCAGUUUCCAUGGAAAUGGAAGUAGAACAAGCCAAGAGCAGUGGUGUAGCCAACUUCAGCUGCUGGCUUCUAGUUCUUGCUCCUGUUUCCAUGGAAAUAGAUGCCAAAUCAGCAAAAAAUAAGGUAACUUGUUUUAAGAUAGUAGAGUUUUAAAGGCUUGUCCUUAUUUAACCUCAGUCAGGAAGAUAGCUGGUGAGGGGAGGCAGCCAGCAGCUCAAUGGAAACCUUCAGAGGCUCUUUCAGCUGCUGACUGCUCGUUGAACUCUGCAGAGAGUGAAUUCACAGGGCAGCCACCAAUCUCCAGAAACAUUCUGCAACUUUCCUGCACUUUGUAAAUAGAAUACAUUUUCCUCUUGGCAUGGAGAGUCACAGCAGUCUGUGGGAGCCCAAGGUAAUAACAUUUCUUUGCAAGGCACCCGUGCAAGUGCCUCCUUGGGCUGCCUUUGCCUCCCAGAGUUCAGGAGAUGUGCUUUUCCCAGCUGCAAUAUGCAAACUAUUCCCAUUCCAAAAGCAAAAUGUUCUGUUUCAGCCUACGGAGAGAGAAGCAAAGGAGUGUUAGCUGGGGGAAUUCCUGGCAGUGUUUUACAACAAACACCCCACUUUCUUUUUGUCCUGAUCCACGAAGGCAAAAUUGCACUGAGAUAAAAGAAGUUGGCCAUCACCUUGCUUGUAGCAAAAUGUGGAUGGGAAAGCAGAGCUGAAUCCAACCAGAAAAAAAGUCUGCUGUAAUUUCAAGAACUGAAAUUUCAUCCAAAGCUCAUUUCAUUAAAACAAACUUUAAUAGAAAGCUAUUUCAAGGUUGGCUUUUGAUCCUUUGCUCCUGCUGUGAUGGAACUGUCUGUGGGGAAGAGUAUUUCUUCGUGGGAAGUUUUGUGAAGACAGAGGUGAGAAUCCCAUCCUGGGCCCCAUUGUUCUUUGAAUUUCUCUUGAAUUGUGAUCGUUGCCAGCCAUCCUCCACCUCUCUCUUUCCCCACAACCCCUUUGCUUACCUGCUCCUUAGGCACUCUUUAAUGAGCUGCAAAGGCACCCUUAGACAAGGGAUCUUAUCACAGGCCACUUGUGGUCCCAUUUUUUGGUAGCAGAAUAUAUCUGGAAGCCAUAAGUGUGGGUAUAUGUUUAAAAAAAAUUCUUGGCUGGCAUUUGUGGUGAAGUAAAUGCAAUUCUAAUGAGGCAUUCCUUCAUUUGCAGCAUUACGAUUUUGCUCUUGGAGACAUAAAAUCUGCUCUUGCAAGGGCACGUGCUUUGCUUCACACACGAAGAAUAUUCCCUUGGGCUGCUGGGUAUUACAAGGAAUGUGCUCAUUUCUGACUGGUUUCUGUGGAUCUUCUUUGAAGAAAACCCAAGAAACAUCGAGCCCUUCAAGAAAUUGCCAAAAAAGGAGGCUUCCAGGCCCUCAGGUCAGUAACCUGCACAAACGUCAUCCCCUCCAGCUCUCCGUGGUUCAGCCACUCCAGGAGGAAAAACAGGAGCUAUCUGCCAGCUCCUCUGCAAGCAGCUCAAAGCACCAUGGCACAGCUCAAAGGAUCAUGAGAACAAGCCAGAGAACAACAGGCUGUGGAGCCAAAACUGAGAUCAAGCAAAAAGGAAAAAAAAAGAAAAAAAAAAAGAGAACAAGGUCUGACAUGAGGUGUGUGCAGCAAAAAAAAUGACACACGUGCACUUUUCUGUGAGUUUCAUAAUGCUGGCAGAUCCCUGGAGUGUGCUGACAGCUCUGUCCUGGAAAUGCAGCUCUUCCAGCCCACCCAGCCCUGCUGGUGUCCCCAGGAGGCUGUGGCAGGUGGGCACAGAACAAGGUGUGGCAGGGGGGGUGGAGGGUUCCAAGCAAGCACAGGCUGUCCUCUGCUCGUCCUGUGAAGUGACUGCUCCCUUCAGGAGGGAAAAUCUCAUGGGGGAGUGGAGCAGAAUCCACCAAGUGCAGGGGGAUGUCACACUGGGGAACUCCCUCCUCUGGGCUCUGGUCAAAAGUCACUGUGCAUGGAAACCUCCUCCCAGAGACACCUGGCAAAGCUGAGUGGUGGUUGAGUAACUUGUGCUAUGAGUAGAAAAAGUUGUCCAUUUUUUUUAAAGUUGCAGAGUUAACAAGUUAAACCAAUUGUUGCUAAGUUGGAGUUUUAACUAUAUGUUGUUAAUAAUUUCAUGUUGUAAUCACCUGUUGUUAAUAGUUUUUCUUUAAUUACCUGUUGUUGAUGGUUAGAAAUCCCUUUUUGUCAGGUAUCACCCUGCUGCUUCCUGGAAGAUGGCACCUGGGACUGUGAGGAGGAGGUGACAUCGGAGCUGGUAUGCAAAUGUGGAAACGCCUCACCAGGAAAAACCCCUAAAACAACGAGCCACCAUGGAAUUAAAAGAUCUAAGUGAUAUCUAGAGGUGAGAAACUGAAUCCAGUGUCUGCUAAGAUCCCUUUUCACCUUUCACCCUAACCUAAAAGGAUGUCAGCUGGAGGGAGGACCUUGAAUGUCAGACUGAAAAAGGGGAAUCUCCUGGUGCUCUUGUGAGGACAGAAGCCCCAGCUCUGCCUGCACACCAGGGACACAGCUGCAUCAUCCUCCUCCUCCUCCCUGCCACUCCUGGAGCAGUGAUGGUGUGUGCGCAACCCAUUGGCUCUCCCCACCCAAGCUGAUUCUUUUUAAUAAAGGCAUUAAAAACGAGAAAGAUCUCCUGCCCUAUUUAUUUCAACUUGUAAAACCACAAUCACUCCAUCCCUGCUGGUUCCCUGUGCUGGGCAGGGGGAGAUGGACAGACAGAUUGCUGCUGCCUCCUGGAGAUGACACCCAGGGUGCUCCUGCCUGAUCCCUGAGCUUGGCAAGACAUCCUUUAUUCCUGGCUCUGGUCUCAGGUUAUCAUCCAUCUCAAUUCCAGCUCUGUCUCUGUCAGAACCCAGGACAUCCCUCUGGGUGCCCUGGAUGGCUCAAAAUCCUGGCAGGGGCUUGGAGACCCUGGCAGGAAGCCAAAGGCACUUGGGAAUUCCAUCUCAACCCAUGGAGCAAAUUACCAACUUUAUGUGAAGAAUUACAAGUCACAAAAGUUUAAGUAGCAUAACAGUAGUUGUCACAGGGUGAAAGGUGGAAUUUUGAAGAUUUUUACUAUAGGGGUCUAGGAGGCAAGAUGGAGGAAUAUGGGCGUUGUCCUGUUCUUCUUCCUUUUUCUUCCUAGCCUCCAUCUUCUUGGUGAUGGUGGCACUUUGUCAUUGGUGUAAAGUAGAAAGUCACUGUCUAACACAGGUGAUAGGUAUUGGAACAUAACUGUAAAUAUCAAAUACAUAGUUUGUAGUAUAAAAGACAACACCAGCCCUGUGGGCGGGCAGUGUGCCUCAGACUGACCUGCAGAACAGAC